GGUAGUAAAAGUCGUAACAAGGUUUCCGUAGGUGAACCUGCGGAAGGAUCAUUAUUGUAUAACCGAGGUGCGAGGGCUGUCGCUGACCCGAAAGGUCGUGCACGCCCGAGUGCCCUCACACACAUCCAUCUCACCCCUAUGUGCACCACCGCGUGGGUCCCCCUUUGGCUUGUUCGGAGGGGGGCUUACGUUUUCACACAAACUUUGUAUGCAGUGUAGAAUGUAUUUUUUGUUCUUGCGAUCACGCAAUCAAUACAACUUUCAACAACGGAUCUCUUGGCUCUC
RNAcentral lists this unclassified non-coding RNA (285 nucleotides) under plant metagenome. Its description in RNAcentral is "partial contains small subunit ribosomal RNA, internal transcribed spacer 1, and 5.8S ribosomal RNA". The stretch from base 1 to 54 matches the Rfam family "Eukaryotic small subunit ribosomal RNA", at positions 1778 to 1831 of the family's 1831-position model. The record is from RNAcentral.